This 468-nucleotide ribosomal RNA is filed under the name uncultured bacterium. Its description in RNAcentral is "partial 16S ribosomal RNA". It matches the Rfam family "Bacterial small subunit ribosomal RNA", at positions 28 to 507 of the family's 1533-position model. The record is from RNAcentral.
GACGAACGCUGGCGGCGUGCUUAACACAUGCAAGUCGAACGGAAAGGCCCUGCUUUUGUGGGGUGCUCGAGUGGCGAACGGGUGAGUAACACGUGAGUAACCUGCCCUUGACCUUGGGAUAACUUCAGGAAACUGGGGCUAAUACCGGCUAGGAGCUCCUGCUGCAUGGUGGGGGUUGGAAAGUUUCGGCGGUUGGGGAUGGACUCGCGGCUUAUCAGCUUGUUGGUGGGGUAGUGGCUUACCAAGGCUUUGACGGGUAGCCGGCCUGAGAGGGUGACCGGCCACAUUGGGACUGAGAUACGGCCCAGACUACUACGGGAGGCAGCGGUGGAGAAUAUUGCACAAUGGGCGGGAGCCUGAUGCAGCAACGCCGCGUGCGGGAUGACGGCCUUCGGGUUGUAAACCGCUUUCGCCUGUGACGAAGCGUGAGUGACGGUAAUGGGUAAAGAAGCACCGGCUAACUACGUG